GGUAAGGUGGCCGAAGCAGGUGCCGAGUUGUAGCCUCGGUUAUAAAGGUCAACCCCUUUCCUUAUCA
RNAcentral lists this transfer RNA (67 nucleotides) under Eurycea guttolineata (three-lined salamander). RNAcentral's name for it is "tRNA-Tyr". The record is from RNAcentral. Lineage: Eukaryota; Metazoa; Chordata; Amphibia; Caudata; Plethodontidae.